GAUGAACGCUGGCGGCGUGCUUAAUACAUGCAAGUCGAACGGAGACUGUAGCAAUACUGUCUUAGUGGCGAACGGGUGAGUAACGCGUUGGUGACCUGCCCCGAAGAGGGGGAUAACAGUCCGAAAGGAUUGCUAAUACCCCAUGUGGUCGUUUGGAUUAGAUGCCUUACGACUAAACGGAUUUAUUCGCUUCGGGAGGGGCCUGCGUCCCAUCAGCUAGUUGGUAGGGUAAUAGCCUACCAAGGCGAUGACGGGUAGGGGACCUGAGAGGGUGGCCCCCCACAAUGGAACUGAAACACGGUCCAUACACCUACGGGUGGCAGCAGUAGGGAAUAUUGGUAAUCUGGGAAACCGGGAACCAGCAACGCCGCGUGCGCGAUGAAGGCCUUCGGGUUGUAAAGCGCUUUUUAAAGGGAUGAGGAAGGACAGUACCUUUAGAAUAAGCCUCGGCUAACUACGUGCUAGCAGCCGCGGUAAACACGAGAGUA
Molecule: ribosomal RNA, 488 nt
Filed under: uncultured bacterium
Lineage: Bacteria
Description: bacterial SSU rRNA
Rfam family: Bacterial small subunit ribosomal RNA
Source: RNAcentral